UAAACCGUGAAAAGUUGUUAAAUUAUUGCACUUUUUCUCAAGUUUUCAUUUCCAGGAAGCAGCAUUAAAGUGUCACAGUUGAAUGUUGUUUCCCGUAUUUCCUACUGCAGGAUCCGCUUCUUUCUGGAAGCAAUAGUUUGUUUCUGGUUGAGAGCUUCCCGCAUACUGAACACUGGCGUGUUUGCAUUUAAUGUUGGCCAGCUAGCUUACAGCUCGGCUGAGGUUCUUUGGGGUUCCGCGGCAUCCUGCCGAACGUUUUGAUGUCGUGCAUUCUUUAACAGAAUUCACGAUGUUCCCGAUGCGAACGAUUGUUAAGAGCCUGGAGGCUUUGCGGCUGGUUGAUUCCGUAUCCGCUCUGCGGAGCGGUACUCCAACGAUGCAAAUAUCCCCGCAAAACUUUUCCAGGAUAGAUCUGGGAGAGUGCGUACGCCAAAUAAGAGGAUUGACUUCAGCUACCGUGAUACCAAAAGGACCGGAGAAAACGGGGGACGGCGUUUCGUUGGUACACGGGUCAACCACAACGAAAACCCAGACGCCCUACAACUCGCUUUUGCCUAACAUUGAAAGAACAUACUGGUCUUCGCCGUUUCCUUCCGGACAUUUUCCUUUGAUAACACCGCUACCUGUGGUUCCCAUACAGUCGCCCUGGGAAGCAACCGUCACCAACCGCCUACCAUCUCUCUGGAAUAUCGAAAAAUUUGAUCCGCUUCCCAGUACGCUGUAUCCCGUGGAAGCGCCCACUUUAGAACAUUUAAAAAUCGAGAAACAGGCAGCGCGUUUAAUUCGCAUACGGCGGAGAAAGAUGAAGAAGCACCAGUAUAAAAAGCUCCGUAAGCGAAUGGGACUCCUCUGGGAUCGGAUCAAACUGCGCCGUAGAUUACGUCGAUUCAAAGCCUUCUACGCUGAGCAGGACCUGAUUAUCACCAAGGCCAAAGAAUUCAGCCCGGAAGCAUAUGUGCGGAAUUACAUUGCGGCGGCGAAGGCCAGCAUCAUUGAACGGGCUAUGCCGCCCCCGAAGCCGGUGCAUGUCAAACCCAAACCCUGGAAACCGAGAAUAUUCCGAUAGGAGAACGGAACGGCGUUUGCUUAUUUUGUGUACAUUGUACGCUGCGAUCAGGAUAGCGCCUUUGAGUCAACCGCACUGACCAGCAUAAAUCCCGUAUGGAAUUGGUUUCGCCCUGGACUAGGCGCUCGGACGAAAGUGUCUUCAGUUGGGGUAUAAAUCGCGUUUCCCGCAUGCAGCGCUCAUGAACACUGGACAUACGUUUGCCACAAUCCAGCGCCGCCAGGGCAUCCUGUUGAAUUUGCGGAUUCUCGCACUGGUUAAGUAAUCCGGACAUUUGGUCAAUGAACGUGCGCGCUUCCGGUUGAUCAGGUUUACAGCGGGCUAUGUAAUCACCGAAGCACUGCAGUGCUUGCUUAUAAGCCCUGAGAAAAGCAGUAAGGUUUUCGUUAGACGUCAAAUAAUACAGAGUACUUCAUUAUGAUUUUAAACAUGAACACCAUCAAUGUUGCAGCAAUUAACGUUCUUACACGCACUACUUUGCGACAAGAAGCCACCAAUACUUGGAUUUAUUUUUGUCCAUAUACCAUGCUGCUUAAUUCAACGGAAUUACAGCAACUGCACGCAGCUGUAAUACCGUCGAUAAACUUACGUGCAGACUUGACGAAAAUCUUCGCUCGUUCGGAGCGCAAACGGACUCCUUUGUAUAAUGGGUGGUAAGGCGCUGAAAUGUUUAAUACACGACGGUGGCGGGAAAUCAUCACAGCUAUCGGGAAGUUCCGGUUCGUUCUCCGGUAAGGAUUCGGCUAACUCGGCCUCAUGGUCGGGUAUUAUGGUGUCCUCCGGGAUCACUGUGGGAUCGUAUUCCGCUUUGACCCCGUUGGGAUCGCUGUAAUCACCCUCGCCGCGGUCAAUGUGGCGGCCGUACACCUGGAUGAGGAGAAAUAGCGGCAGAAUACUAACGAGCUGCAUCCCGGAUAUUUUGACGGUAGAAUAAAACGCAGAGAAUUGCUGAAAUGCUGAACGGUAUCUACAGCUGCGUUUGCCGGUUUUUGAUUAAGCGAUAAAAUUGGCAAUUACACGGUCUGAGUAGUAAUUAAUGAAACCACACACGUAUACACGCAGGUUUUCCUUCUUAUACUGGAGACAUGUGGGCAAUAAGGUGAUCUUUGUCCUGUGGCUCAUUGUUUACGUAACCGCAGCCAUUUUCUAGUAAAAAUUGCGGUUUCCGUACAACUCGGCUGUUGACAAACGUCCAAAUUGCCUUUGCCGUCAGUCGAAGAGUUCGAUCUGGAUUUGAGUGGGGAAACGGUUACUGUGGAUGACCGCCAAACGUCCUAGGCUCGCUGGUUGUAAUUUGUGGUUGUAAUUUGCAGGAUGAUUCACGCACGCACACCACACAACCAAUGUAGAGGUUUAUUUUGUGCUUUUGAACGAUGGCAAUAUAACGAUCCGAUAUAAAUGCAAAUUUCCGUAGAUCUGGGUAAACUUCCGGUCACCCCAUGCGUAUCAGAU
RNA transcript from Paramacrobiotus metropolitanus, 2518 nucleotides. RefSeq lists it as uncharacterized. The record is from RefSeq and is a predicted model, not a curated record. The transcript is spliced from 4 exons. Lineage: Eukaryota; Metazoa; Tardigrada; Eutardigrada; Parachela; Macrobiotidae.